UGCUGGCAGCGCUCUUGCGUGAGCGUCAGGCAAAUCAGCCCGCGCGCGUGCGUGGCCAUGAAGUUGAUGGCCUCCGGCGUCACGAAAUCGGCCGCCA
Molecule: non-coding RNA, 97 nt
Filed under: uncultured Ottowia sp.
Lineage: Bacteria; Pseudomonadati; Pseudomonadota; Betaproteobacteria; Burkholderiales; Comamonadaceae
Source: RNAcentral